CCCAGCUUGCUGGGUACUCGAGUGGCGAACGGGUGAGUAACACGUGGGUGAUCUGCCCUGCACUCUGGGAUAAGCCUGGGAAACUGGGUCUAAUACCGGAUAUGACCAACUGUCGCAUGGUGGUUGGUGGAAAGCUUUUGCGGUGUGGGAUGGGCCCGCGGCCUAUCAGCUUGUUGGUGGGGUAAUGGCCUACCAAGGCGACGACGGGUAGCCGACCUGAGAGGGUGAUCGGCCACACUGGGACUGAGACACGGCCCAGACUCCUACGGGAGGCAGCAGUGGGGAAUAUUGCACAAUGGGCGCAAGCCUGAUGCAGCGACGCCGCGUGAGGGAUGACGGCCUUCGGGUUGUAAACCUCUUUCACCAGGGACGAAGCGCAAGUGACGGUACCUGGAGAAGAAGCACCGGCCAACUACGUGCCAGCAGCCGCGGUAAUACGUAGGGUGCGAGCGUUGUCCGGAAUUACUGGGCGUAAAGAGCUCGUAGGCGGUUUGUCGCGUCGUCUGUGAAAUUCUGCAACUCAAUUGCAGGCGUGCAGGCGAUACGGGCAGACUUGAGUACUACAGGGGAGACUGGAAUUCCUGGUGUAGCGGUGAAAUGCGCAGAUAUCAGGAGGAACACCGGUGGCGAAGGCGGGUCUCUGGGUAGUAACUGACGCUGAGGAGCGAAAGCGUGGGUAGCGAACAGGAUUAGAUA
RNAcentral lists this ribosomal RNA (696 nucleotides) under Gordonia sp. (in: high G+C Gram-positive bacteria). Its description in RNAcentral is "bacterial SSU rRNA". It matches the Rfam family "Bacterial small subunit ribosomal RNA", at positions 74 to 784 of the family's 1533-position model. The record is from RNAcentral. Lineage: Bacteria; Bacillati; Actinomycetota; Actinomycetes; Mycobacteriales; Gordoniaceae.